Molecule: long non-coding RNA, 1314 nt
Organism: Lolium perenne
Lineage: Eukaryota; Viridiplantae; Streptophyta; Magnoliopsida; Poales; Poaceae
Source: RefSeq, a predicted model, not a curated record
UGUUUGUUUGCCAUGAAAAUAAAUUAUUUUCCGGCAAUCUCUAUGCAUUUUGUCCAUGCAUAUACAUUUUAUUGGGGUUACGUUAUGUAGAUCCAUGAAUUCUAGCAUACAUGUAGUCAUAAGUUGUGCAAUAUUUUUGUCUUAUUCAUGUGUAAUAGUUUUUAACUUCACUUGUAUAAGUAUGGGAAAGACAAAUAAGGUAUUUGUCAUGUACUUGUUUAGCCUAGAAGCAUGCCGAUAUCUAAUGAAUCAAGGGGAGUUAGUUUAACACUUUACUCAGAAGAUAUUACAGUUAAUUAUCUUUAUAUUAUACUUCAGCUCCCAAGUCCUAAUUAUUCAUUCCCUAGGAAUAUUAGAAGGUUGCUGCACAUCGGUACUGAAAUCCAGGCUACCCGGUUUUCUUCUUGGACUUGCACAAGCUCCCUCUGGUUUCUGAAGUUCAAGGGGAUGACAUGGUUGCUGCAGUUCGGCACUGAAAUCCAGACAACAAGACAAGGUGCAGGCAGCAAGACAAGGAUCUAGCUCAAUAUGUUGCCUGGUCAGCUCACAUGGGCACGCCUCUCCCUUCACCCACAACGGACGAGUAGCCAAACUGCAUCGAGCUGGAUGAUAACGCUGCAGAUGCCAAUGAUGAGAAGUGUGAGGAGAAGCUUAAGAAGGAGAACAUACCUUAUGCUUAUGAGUACAAUUACAUUCAUAUUUAUUUUCUGAACUACAUGUUGGUAGAUGGUACGUAUUCUGAAGCUGCAAUCAUUCACAAACUACAACAUUCUGAAACUGUACCUAUUCCGAAUUUACAACAAUCGCUAACAGAGCAAUAUGACUGUAUGGUGAGUAUUUUCUCGAGUAAAUUGAUAAGAAAAUUAGUAAAUCUGGGGUAGUUCCCUUACAAUCGCUAACAAUCGCUAUGGAAGUCUCCGUGCUCAUUGACCAUUUAGGCAGUCUUGAAGUUUGUUGGUAAAUUGAUGUUGCAGCUACAAUGCUUAGCUGGUAUUUUUUUUGUUACUCGACGACAUUUUACUUAGUGCAUUGUUUCUUUGGUUUUUGAAUUUAUGGGGAAAUCAUAACAAUGAGUGAAUUCAGAAACCAUGGGUGUGGUCUCAGGCUGUCGAGAGCAUGUUUGGCGCAUAUGUACACACCAUGUGGCAUGUGUUUUGCAUAUCCUACCUCUCGCUCCUUGGUACUUCUGACGGAUAUGGAAGACAAGGAGGGACUAGACAAGCAAAUAUGAAGUUCAUCAUGCUACAAUACCUUCUUGAGGGAACAAAACCAAAGUGAUUCAAUGAUUUUUCCUGCAGCUCAAAACAUACUUUU